Molecule: ribosomal RNA, 253 nt
Filed under: uncultured bacterium
Lineage: Bacteria
Description: partial 16S ribosomal RNA
Rfam family: Bacterial small subunit ribosomal RNA
Source: RNAcentral
UACGGGGGGGGCAAGCGUUGUUCGGAAUUACUGGGCGUAAAGGGCUCGUAGGCGGCCAACUAAGUCAUACGUGAAAUCCCUCAGCUUAACUGGGGAACUGCGUGUGAUACUGGAAGGCUUGAAUCCGGGAGAGGGAUGCGGAAUUCCAGGUGUAGCGGUGAAAUGCGUAGAUAUCUGGAGGAACACCGGUGGCGAAGGCGGCAUCCUGGACCGGCAUUGACGCUGAGGCGCGAAAGCCAGGGGAGCAAACGGG